This 63-nucleotide transfer RNA is filed under the name Elysia chlorotica (eastern emerald elysia). RNAcentral describes it as "tRNA-Arg". The record is from RNAcentral. Lineage: Eukaryota; Metazoa; Mollusca; Gastropoda; Plakobranchidae.
GGUCUAGAAGCGAAAAAUCGCACUAAGUUUCGGCCUUAGACUUGAGUAUUUACUCCUAGGCUU